RNAcentral lists this ribosomal RNA (253 nucleotides) under uncultured bacterium. RNAcentral describes it as "partial 16S ribosomal RNA". It matches the Rfam family "Bacterial small subunit ribosomal RNA", at positions 524 to 776 of the family's 1533-position model. The record is from RNAcentral.
UACGAAGGGUGCUAGCGUUGUUCGGAUUUACUGGGCGUAAAGCGUGCGUAGGUGGCUUUACAAGUCAGGGGUGAAAUCCUGGGGCUCAACCCCAGAAUUGCCUUUGAAACUGCAAAGCUAGAGUAUCGGAGGGGAUAGCGGAAUUGCUAAUGUAGAGGUGAAAUUCGUAGAUAUUAGCAGGAACACCGGUGGCGAAGGCGGCUAUCUGGACGGAUACUGACGCUGAGACGCGAAAGCGUGGGGAGCAAACAGG